Molecule: long non-coding RNA, 99 nt
Organism: Sander lucioperca (pikeperch)
Lineage: Eukaryota; Metazoa; Chordata; Actinopteri; Perciformes; Percidae
Exons: 4
Source: RefSeq, a predicted model, not a curated record
UUUAUAGGAACUCCCCAAAAAGUCCCAUGUAACAUUAAUGACCUGAAACUACUGGAUAUCAUGUUUCCUGAUCCCUACAGUGAAUUAAUGAAAUUUGUG